CUGUCCGAGGGGCGCUGCAGCAGGUUUUCCUGUCAGGCUCGGAUGGGGCGUUGUUCGACCGGGUUGUCCCGUCGAGCCUUAAACGCACAACGGCGCCCAUUCGCA
RNAcentral lists this non-coding RNA (105 nucleotides) under Pseudomonas syringae. RNAcentral's name for it is "SAH sequence". It matches the Rfam family "SAH (S-adenosyl-L-homocysteine) riboswitch aptamer". The record is from RNAcentral. Lineage: Bacteria; Pseudomonadati; Pseudomonadota; Gammaproteobacteria; Pseudomonadales; Pseudomonadaceae.